This 793-nucleotide ribosomal RNA is filed under the name Microbacterium sp. 41AAV. RNAcentral's name for it is "bacterial SSU rRNA". It matches the Rfam family "Bacterial small subunit ribosomal RNA", at positions 48 to 854 of the family's 1533-position model. Lineage: Bacteria; Bacillati; Actinomycetota; Actinomycetes; Micrococcales; Microbacteriaceae. The record is from RNAcentral.
CUUACCAUGCAGUCGAACGGUGAAAGAGAGCUUGCUCUCUGGAUCAGUGGCGAACGGGUGAGUAACACGUGAGCAAUCUGCCCCUGACUCUGGGAUAAGCGUUGGAAACGACGUCUAAUACCGGAUACGAGCUGCGAAGGCAUCUUCAGCAGCUGGAAAGAACUUCGGUCAGGGAUGAGCUCGCGGCCUAUCAGCUAGUUGGUGAGGUAAUGGCUCACCAAGGCGUCGACGGGUAGCCGGCCUGAGAGGGUGACCGGCCACACUGGGACUGAGACACGGCCCAGACUCCUACGGGAGGCAGCAGUGGGGAAUAUUGCACAAUGGGCGCAAGCCUGAUGCAGCAACGCCGCGUGAGGGACGACGGCCUUCGGGUUGUAAACCUCUUUUAGCAGGGAAGAAGCGAAAGUGACGGUACCUGCAGAAAAAGCACCGGCUAACUACGUGCCAGCAGCCGCGGUAAUACGUAGGGUGCAAGCGUUAUCCGGAAUUAUUGGGCGUAAAGAGCUCGUAGGCGGUUUGUCGCGUCUGCUGUGAAAACCCGAGGCUCAACCUCGGGCCUGCAGUGGGUACGGGCAGACUAGAGUGCGGUAGGGGAGAUUGGAAUUCCUGGUGUAGCGGUGGAAUGCGCAGAUAUCAGGAGGAACACCGAUGGCGAAGGCAGAUCUCUGGGCCGUAACUGACGCUGAGGAGCGAAAGGGUGGGGAGCAAACAGGCUUAGAUACCCUGGUAGUCCACCCCGUAAACGUUGGGAACUAGUUGUGGGGUCCAUUCCACGGAUCCCGUGACGCAGCUA